Long non-coding RNA from Acipenser ruthenus (sterlet), 1979 nucleotides. RefSeq lists it as uncharacterized. Lineage: Eukaryota; Metazoa; Chordata; Actinopteri; Acipenseriformes; Acipenseridae. The record is from RefSeq and is a predicted model, not a curated record. The transcript is spliced from 2 exons.
UAUAGUAGUGUUUAAUCUGUCAUGCACAAAAUCAGAACACAUUGUUUGGACAAAUGAACUGUCUUGCUGUACAUGGUGUAAUGGAAUUUUUGUAACAUUGCAAUUGCUUAGCUUGCUCAAUGGCAAACAAAUAGGUUUUCAGAUAACAAUACAGUUUGCAACGUUAGGUUUAAAUAAAGACCUGUCCCGAGUCAAUAGGACGAGCGGAACAUGAGCUAUAAGAAAUAAUAACUUUAUGUGUAAUAGGUAUAAAAAGUGUAUUUGUGCUUUUGACUGUAGCCGUGAGAUAACAGGAUGAGUUAGACGUGGCUCUCCGCACGUACAUUCAAACUACCAUCCUGCUAUCUGCUUGCUUAUCUACAGCAAUGAAUAGGUUUUCUCAUAUGCUAGAACCUGAAUCAACAUUACCUGCUCCUCAUGUGAUUAACUAGAUGUUUUUGAGGUAUGUUAAUACCUGAAUCAACAUUACAUAACCCUCAUGUGAUUAAUUUGAUUAUGUGUGACUAAAGCCACGUAGACAUUAAUUGAACUGCCUAUAUUAAGAAACACCAAACCCAGGUUUGGUGAGCUUCUUAGCGAUUGCUUGCUGAGUCUGUAUACUCUGUUGUAAGCUCCAAUCAGCUGAUUAAAUAAAACCAAACUCUGUUCCAACCUGUCUCUGUCUCAGCUCGUCUCAGUAAAAGACUCGGAGGUCAACCGAGAGUAAGGGUCUCGAGUUUUCCACCACAAAUGGCGACGAGGAUGGGAUACUAAACUCCGCCCGCUGGGUGCCCCGGAGAACCGAAGUCAAUCACCGGGUACGAGACGCCUUACCCGACCCAGCUGAAGGACCAGGCCAUCGCAUCUGCCCCGGAGACUGGAUCGUGAUCAAGGACCCCCGAAGAAAGCAUUGACACCAACAACGGUGGAUCGGACUUUUCCAGACAAUCCAGCUCUGUUUUGGUUUUCCCAGCACAUCUCAUUAUGGGGAAGCAUUUCAUUCAAUUUGGCAAGUUUUGGUAAACCUGGUAGUUGCGCUAUUUUAUCCUUUUGGGAAUGAAUGGGGAAACUGAAUCGGACAAUACCCGCCAAAGACGCAGUGUGCACUCCCCAUGGCACAACAUGAACCACUCCACCAAGCAUACUGAACUGAGCGAAUACGAACAUAAUACGUGGUAUAAAUUUACAGAAUGAAUGGUAUGUGGGAGGUAUGAAGCCACAGUUCCACUCCACUCAAUGUCCCCCACUAAUGCCCUUUCCCCAGACAGGUUGUGGGAAAGGCAAAACCAUUUGUGACGGGAGCAACCUGAUUGCAAACGUUGGUAAAAAUAAACACUGAAGAUAUUUCGCCAAUACGCCAAAGGUGUGGUGAGUUUAGACUAUUAACUAAAAUAUUGAAUACAACCUUGUCAUGAAUUGGAUACUUGCCAACAUAACACAGGUGGCCAUCAAAGGAGGGGUCUGAUUGACGACAUUGCUGGGUGGUUCGGAGCUGUGAAUUCAGGCCUCAAUUAAGUGUACAGCAGGUCAAUGAAAACCAUGGCCAGUUUCUGAAAGCAGGUGAUGCUUUUCAGAGAUUGGCCAUGGCUGAACAAAUGACUGGUGAAAGACGGUUGACACAAUAAUUGAAGAGGUAAAUUUGACAGCUUGGAGAGAACAGAUGUUACGUGAGAUAGUCAAGACCGGAUACUGAUAUGUACUGAACGAUGUGAUGAAGAUAUUUGUUUUAUUUUAAUAGUGCCACAUACCACCAGUCGGGUCCACCACAGUACCUGAAUAACGGUCAGUAGUCUAGGGGUAGUAAUUGGAACAAGGGUUAUAAGCCCACAAAAUAAACACGGGUUGAUCAGCGUGCCCAAAAAUGCCACCCUGUACUUCAAAGCCACUGAGUGUAUUGAAUUUGGUGAUACUGUUCUGUGUGACCGUGCUAACGGCACUAACCUAUCAAUGCAAUUGAUGGAAGCAACGGUACACCCAAAGCUAGGGUACAAAAGAUGUAC